Molecule: transfer RNA, 84 nt
Filed under: Spirochaetales bacterium
Lineage: Bacteria; Pseudomonadati; Spirochaetota; Spirochaetia; Spirochaetales
Description: tRNA-Leu
Rfam family: tRNA
About the family: Transfer RNA (tRNA) molecules are approximately 80 nucleotides in length. Their secondary structure includes four short double-helical elements and three loops (D, anti-codon, and T loops). Further hydrogen bonds mediate the characteristic L-shaped molecular structure. tRNAs have two regions of fundamental functional importance: the anti-codon, which is responsible for specific mRNA codon recognition, and the 3' end, to which the tRNAs corresponding amino acid is attached (by aminoacyl-tRNA synthetases). tRNAs cope with the degeneracy of the genetic code in two manners: having more than one tRNA (with a specific anti-codon) for a particular amino acid; and 'wobble' base-pairing, i.e. permitting non-standard base-pairing at the 3rd anti-codon position.
Source: RNAcentral
GCGGCGGUGGUGAAAUUGGUAGACACACCAGCUUGAGGGGCUGGCGGGGGUUUCCCCAUGAAGGUUCAAGUCCUUUUCGCCGCA